UUGAAUGUUCUUCGUGAACAUGGCGGACUGCUCAGUAACACGUGGACAACCUACCCUUGGAUCUGGGAUAAACCCGGGAAACUGGGCAUAAUACCGGAUAAGCCACAUAUGCUGGAAUGCUUUGUGGCUCAAAGCUCCGGCGUCCAAGGAUGGGUCUGCGGCCUAUCAGGGUAGUAGUGGGUGUAAUGUACCUACUAGCCUACGACGGGUACGGGUUGUGAGAGCAAGAGCCCGGAGGUGGAUUCUGAGACACGAAUCCAGGCCCUACGGGGUGCAGCAGGCGCGAAAACUUUACAAUGCGGGAAACCGCGAUAAGGGAAUCUCGAGUGCCAGCAUAUAAUGUUGGCUGUCCAGAUGCCUAAAAAGCAUUUGUUAGCAAGGGCCGGGCAAGACCGGUGCCAGCCGCCGCGGUAACACCGGCGGCCCGAGUGGUAACCGUUAUUAUUGGGUCUAAAGGGUCUGUAGCCGGCCGAAUAAGUCUCUUGGGAAAUCUGGCAGCUUAACUGUCAGGCAGUCAGGGGAUACUGUUCGGCUUGGGACCGGGAGAGGUGAGAGGUACCUCGGGGGUAGGGGUGAAAUCUUGUGAUCCUCGAGGGACCACCAGUGGCGAAGGCGUCUCACCAGAACGGGUCCGACGGUAAGGGACGAAAGCUAGGGGCACGAACCGGAUUAGAUACCCGGGUAGUCCUAGCCGUAAACGAUGCUUGCUAGGUGUCAGCCACGGUGCGACCGCGGUUGGUGCCGUAGGGAAGCCGUGAAGCGAGCCACCUGGGAAGUACGGCCGC
This 785-nucleotide ribosomal RNA is filed under the name uncultured Methanosarcinales archaeon. Its description in RNAcentral is "bacterial SSU rRNA". It matches the Rfam family "Archaeal small subunit ribosomal RNA", at positions 58 to 844 of the family's 1478-position model. The record is from RNAcentral. Lineage: Archaea; Methanobacteriati; Methanobacteriota; Methanomicrobia; Methanosarcinales.